UCCUACGGGGGGCAGCAGUGGGGGAUAUUGCACAAUGGGGGAAACCCUGAUGCAGCGACGCCGCGUGGGCGAAGAAGUAUUUCGGUAUGUAAAGCCCCAUCGGCAGGGAAGAAGAAAUGACGGUACCUGAGUAAGAAGCACCGGCUAAAUACGUGCCAGCAGCCGCGGUAAUACGUAUGGUGCAAGCGUUAUCCGGAUUUACUGGGUGUAAAGGGAGCGCAGACGGCAGUGCAAGUCUGGAGUGAAAGCCCGGGGCCCAACCCCGGAACUGCUCUGGAAACUGUGCGGCUAGAGUACUGGAGGGG
This 305-nucleotide ribosomal RNA is filed under the name uncultured bacterium. RNAcentral's name for it is "bacterial SSU rRNA". It matches the Rfam family "Bacterial small subunit ribosomal RNA", at positions 337 to 657 of the family's 1533-position model. The record is from RNAcentral.